RNAcentral lists this ribosomal RNA (301 nucleotides) under uncultured bacterium. Its description in RNAcentral is "partial 16S ribosomal RNA". It matches the Rfam family "Bacterial small subunit ribosomal RNA", at positions 509 to 809 of the family's 1533-position model. The record is from RNAcentral.
CAGCAGCCGCGGUAAUACGUAGGGUGCGAGCGUUAAUCGGAAUUACUGGGCGUAAAGCGUGCGCAGGCGGUGAUGUAAGACAGAUGUGAAAUCCCCGGGCUCAACCUGGGAACUGCAUUAGUGACUGCAUCGCUGGAGUGCGGCAGAGGGGGACGGAAUUCCGCGUGUAGCAGUGAAAUGCGUAGAUAUGCGGAGGAACACCGAUGGCGAAGGCAUUCCCCUGGGCCUGCACUGACGCUCAUGCACGAAAGCGUGGGGAGCAAACAGGAUUAGAUACCCGAGUAGUCCCUGUCUCUUAUAA